Molecule: ribosomal RNA, 159 nt
Filed under: Triticum aestivum (bread wheat)
Lineage: Eukaryota; Viridiplantae; Streptophyta; Magnoliopsida; Poales; Poaceae
Description: partial small subunit ribosomal RNA
Rfam family: tRNA (bases 1-78)
Source: RNAcentral
AUGGCCGAGUGGUCUAAGGCGCCAGACUCAAGUUCUGGUCCUCUUACGAGGGCGUGGGUUCAAACCCCACUUCUGACAUAUUUUCUUUUUUUAACUUUCUAUAUAUCGAUUUUUAGUUAUUUUUUAUUUUCGGCCUUUGCUUUUAUGUUCUGUCCUUAA